Molecule: long non-coding RNA, 770 nt
Filed under: Sorghum bicolor (sorghum)
Lineage: Eukaryota; Viridiplantae; Streptophyta; Magnoliopsida; Poales; Poaceae
Description: long non-coding RNA (SBIC_LNC018251)
Source: RNAcentral
ACGCAUCACGUACAUUUGAGCGGAACACAUCUGCCAAGAACAUACAGGACGAAGCAUUCAUUCUUUCAGAGCAUGGAGAAACACACACUGCGCAAUGAUGUACUACUGUUUCUCUCGUUGCUACUCUUUAUCGGAUCCUUUUCCAUUCAUGCGGAAUGUAAGUGACAUAAAUAAAAAUAUAGUUGCUAUCUCUACAAUCUGUUAGGUCUUGUUUAGUUACAGUCAAAUUUGCAUAAAUCCACAUAUAUUGUAGUGAAUUAGAGUGAAACUUAAAUUAAAUUCUACCUCAACACAUGUGGAUGAAAGGUGAAUACUAUAACGUCUAAACAAAGACCUAAUUUUCUUUCUUGUAAGAUUAACCAAGAGGGACACUGAUUUAUGUAUAGAUGAUGUUGGUUUAAUUUUACGCUUGUUCUAGGGCCAUUAAUUCUGUGUAUUUAUGCAUGUACUGAACAUAUUUUCUUUUCCCGUGUGAAAAAUAGGCCGAGCUGUCAAAAUGGAUAAAAAGAUUGUUCCUGCACAUGGACAAUGCAUCUAUACUGUUUGCCAGGGACCAUAUUCUGACCCUAAGUGCUAUUGCUGUGUCCAUAAAGUCCAUAAUAAAACUCCUUGCUCUGUCUUUAAAAGUGAGUGCCAACUAUUGUGCCCCACAAGAUCAAUUUAAUAUUACUUGAAAUAAUGUAAAGAGUAUAAUUCCUAUGUGGAAGUUGCGUAUGAACAAUAGGAAUUAAAUGAAUAAAAACGCAGUGCAACGUGUUGCUGCUUUCUUU